GGAACACGAAGUGGGGAUCUGCACUUGGGGUGGUCAGCACUGCGGAUGCCCAGCAAAGUCACUGCCUGGUCCACAUCCCGAAGGGGUCUCUGCGCCUCAGUCGGCAUCGCAGCUGAUGGUGAAACUUUUGGUGUGGCAGAGGAGUGUCCACAAACUUCAGAAGUUGCUAGAGAAAAAUGAAAACGACUAGUUUUGAAAGCCUCACUUCUGCCAAUGGAAGCACAUUACAGCAUGUCGCCAACGCAAUCCACUUUCCACCACUUUCACAAAAAACGUUACUGCACAAUUAUACUAUCCUACCCUUAUAUA
RNAcentral lists this small RNA (309 nucleotides) under Pan troglodytes (chimpanzee). Its description in RNAcentral is "processed transcript". Lineage: Eukaryota; Metazoa; Chordata; Mammalia; Primates; Hominidae. The record is from RNAcentral.